GUGCUAAUCUGCGAUAAGCGCCGGUAAGGUGAUAUGAACCGUUAUAACCGGCGAUACCCGAAUGGGGAAACCCAGUGUGAUUCGUCACACUAUCAUUAACUGAAUCCAUAGGUUAAUGAGGCGAACCGGGGGAACUGAAACAUCUAAGUACCCCGAGGAAAAGAAAUCAACCGAGAUUCCCCCAGUAGCGGCGAGCGAACGGGGAGGAGCCCAGAGCCUGAAUCAGCAUGUGUGUUAGUGGAAGCGUCUGGAAAGGCGCGCGAUACAGGGUGACAGCCCCGUACACAAAAGCGCAUGUGCUGUGAGCUCGAUGAGUAGGGCGGGACACGUGGUAUCCUGUCUGAAUAUGGGGGGACCAUCCUCCAAGGCUAAAUACUCCUGACUGACCGAUAGUGAACCAGUACCGUGAGGGAAAGGCGAAAAGAACCCCGGCGAGGGGAGUGAAAAAGAACCUGAAACCGUGUACGUACAAGCAGUGGGAGCACCCUUUGGGUGUGACUGCGUACCUUUUGUAUAAUGGGUCAGCGACUUAUAUUCUGUAGCAAGGUUAACCGAAUAGGGGAGCCGGAGGGAAACCGAGUCUUAACCGGGCGUUAAGUUGCAGGGUAUAGACCCGAAACCCGGUGAUCUAGCCAUGGGCAGGUUGAAGGUUGGGUAACACUAACUGGAGGACCGAACCGACUAAUGUUGAAAAAUUAGCGGAUGACCUGUGGCUGGGGGUGAAAGGCCAAUCAAACCGGGAGAUAGCUGGUUCUCCCCGAAAGCUAUUUAGGUAGCGCCUCGUGAAUUCAUCUCCGGGGGUAGAGCACUGUUUCGGCUAGGGGGCCAUCCCGGCUUACCAACCCGAUGCAAACUGCGAAUACCGGAGAAUGUUAUCACGGGAGACACACGGCGGGUGCUAACGUCCGUCGUGAAGAGGGAAACAACCCAGACCGCCAGCUAAGGUCCCAAAGUCAUGGUUAAGUGGGAAACGAUGUGGGAAGGCCCAGACAGCCAGGAUGUUGGCUUAGAAGCAGCCAUCAUUUAAAGAAAGCGUAAUAGCUCACUGGUCGAGUCGGCCUGCGCGGAAGAUGUAACGGGGCUAAACCAUGCACCGAAGCUGCGGCAGCGACACUGUGUGUUGUUGGGUAGGGGAGCGUUCUGUAAGCCUGUGAAGGUGUGUCGUGAGGCAUGCUGGAGGUAUCAGAAGUGCGAAUGCUGACAUAAGUAACGAUAAAGCGGGUGAAAAGCCCGCUCGCCGGAAGACCAAGGGUUCCUGUCCAACGUUAAUCGGGGCAGGGUGAGUCGACCCCUAAGGCGAGGCCGAAAGGCGUAGUCGAUGGGAAACGGGUUAAUAUUCCCGUACUUGGUGUUACUGCGAAGGGGGGACGGAGAAGGCUAUGUUGGCCGGGCGACGGUUGUCCCGGUUUAAGCGUGUAGGCUGGUUUUCCAGGCAAAUCCGGAAAAUCAAGGCUGAGGCGUGAUGACGAGGCACUACGGUGCUGAAGCAACAAAUGCCCUGCUUCCAGGAAAAGCCUCUAAGCAUCAGGUAACAUCAAAUCGUACCCCAAACCGACACAGGUGGUCAGGUAGAGAAUACCAAGGCGCUUGAGAGAACUCGGGUGAAGGAACUAGGCAAAAUGGUGCCGUAACUUCGGGAGAAGGCACGCUGACACGUAGGUGAAGUGAUUUACUCAUGGAGCUGAAGUCAGUCGAAGAUACCAGCUGGCUGCAACUGUUUAUUAAAAACACAGCACUGUGCAAACACGAAAGUGGACGUAUACGGUGUGACGCCUGCCCGGUGCCGGAAGGUUAAUUGAUGGGGUCAGCGCAAGCGAAGCUCCUGAUCGAAGCCCCGGUAAACGGCGGCCGUAACUAUAACGGUCCUAAGGUAGCGAAAUUCCUUGUCGGGUAAGUUCCGACCUGCACGAAUGGCGUAAUGAUGGCCAGGCUGUCUCCACCCGAGACUCAGUGAAAUUGAACUCGCUGUGAAGAUGCAGUGUACCCGCGGCAAGACGGAAAGACCCCGUGAACCUUUACUAUAGCUUGACACUGAACAUUGAGCCUUGAUGUGUAGGAUAGGUGGGAGGCUUUGAAGUGUGGACGCCAGUCUGCAUGGAGCCGACCUUGAAAUACCACCCUUUAAUGUUUGAUGUUCUAACGUGGACCCGUUACCCGGGUUGCGGACAGUGUCUGGUGGGUAGUUUGACUGGGGCGGUCUCCUCCUAAAGAGUAACGGAGGAGCACGAAGGUUGGCUAAUCCUGGUCGGACAUCAGGAGGUUAGUGCAAUGGCAUAAGCCAGCUUGACUGCGAGCGUGACGGCGCGAGCAGGUGCGAAAGCAGGUCAUAGUGAUCCGGUGGUUCUGAAUGGAAGGGCCAUCGCUCAACGGAUAAAAGGUACUCCGGGGAUAACAGGCUGAUACCGCCCAAGAGUUCAUAUCGACGGCGGUGUUUGGCACCUCGAUGUCGGCUCAUCACAUCCUGGGGCUGAAGUAGGUCCCAAGGGUAUGGCUGUUCGCCAUUUAAAGUGGUACGCGAGCUGGGUUUAGAACGUCGUGAGACAGUUCGGUCCCUAUCUGCCGUGGGCGCUGGAGAACUGAGGGGGGCUGCUCCUAGUACGAGAGGACCGGAGUGGACGCAUCACUGGUGUUCGGGUUGUCAUGCCAAUGGCACUGCCCGGUAGCUAAAUGCGGAAGAGAUAAGUGCUGAAAGCAUCUAAGCACGAAACUUGCCCCGAGAUGAGUUCUCCCUGAGACUUAAAGUCUCCUGAAGGAACGUUGAAGACGACGACGUUGAUAGGCCGGGUGUGUAAGCGCAGCGAUGCGUUGAGCUAACCGGUACUAAUGAACCGUGAGGCUUAACCUUACAACGCCGAAG
This 2857-nucleotide ribosomal RNA is filed under the name Salmonella enterica subsp. enterica serovar Enteritidis. Its description in RNAcentral is "partial 23S ribosomal RNA". It matches the Rfam family "Bacterial large subunit ribosomal RNA". The record is from RNAcentral. Lineage: Bacteria; Pseudomonadati; Pseudomonadota; Gammaproteobacteria; Enterobacterales; Enterobacteriaceae.